Long non-coding RNA from Quercus lobata, 500 nucleotides. RefSeq lists it as uncharacterized. The transcript is spliced from 2 exons. Lineage: Eukaryota; Viridiplantae; Streptophyta; Magnoliopsida; Fagales; Fagaceae. The record is from RefSeq and is a predicted model, not a curated record.
ACCCUCCCUCCCUCCCUUCCCUUUCUCUCAGAUUGCCGCUCUGUUCUGUGAUCAUUAUACCCAUCCAUCACAGACCAACACCAAUCUCUCUCUCUCUCUCUCUCUAACAAACAUUAUUCUCUCUCUAACGCACACAAGCAACACAUAAUUCUCUCUAACGCACACACACAAACACAAACACACGCAAACAUAUUCUUUUCUUUCCCUUCUCUCUGUGUUUGUUUGUGUGUGUGGGGGGGGUUGAAUGUUAGGAUUCUGUGAAUGACUUGGCGAGUCUCGUACAGGGUUUGAUUCACUGAUUCUUUGAUAAUUUUUGUGGUGCCAACUGAACUGAACUGACCAGACCGACCGACCAUAAUGAGUGCCGUUGGUGCUGGUGUUGGUAAUCAAUUGGUCUCUAUUUCUCCUGAUGAGCUCAAGUUUACAUUUGAGCUGGAAAAGCAAAGCUACUGUGAUCUUAAAGUUGUGAACAACACAGAAAAUCAUGUUGCUUUUAAGGU